GAGGAAUAUUGGUCAAUGGGCGCAAGCCUGAACCAGCCAUCCCGCGUGCAGGAAGACGGCGCUAUGCGUUGUAAACUGCUUUUCCAGGGAGAGAAACUUGCGCACGUGUUGCGCAAUUGACGGUACCCUGGGAAUAAGCAUCGGCUAACUCCGUGCCAGCAGCCGCGGUAAUACGGAGGAUGCGAGCGUUAUCCGGAUUCAUUGGGUUUAAAGGGUGCGUAGGCGGACUAUUAAGUCAGUGGUGAAAUCCUGCAGCUUAACUGCAGAACUGCCAUUGAUACUGAUAGCCUUGAGUUUGGUUAAGGUAGGCGGAAUGUGUAAUGUAGCGGUGAAAUGCUUAGAUAUUACACAGAACACCAAUUGCGUAGGCAGCUUACUGAGCCGACACUGACGCUGAGGCACGAAAGCGUGGGGAUCGAACA
Molecule: ribosomal RNA, 422 nt
Filed under: uncultured Bacteroidota bacterium
Lineage: Bacteria; Pseudomonadati; Bacteroidota
Description: bacterial SSU rRNA
Rfam family: Bacterial small subunit ribosomal RNA
Source: RNAcentral